Molecule: ribosomal RNA, 442 nt
Filed under: uncultured bacterium
Lineage: Bacteria
Description: partial 16S ribosomal RNA
Rfam family: Bacterial small subunit ribosomal RNA
Source: RNAcentral
CCUACGGAUGACUGCAGUAGGGAAUCUUUCACAAUGGGCGAAAGCCUGAUGGAGCAACGCCGCGUGCAGGAUGAAGGCCUUCGGGUUGUAAACUGCUUUUAUAAGCGAGAAAUAUGAUGGUAACUUAUGAAUAAGGAUCGGCUAACUACGUGCCAGCAGACGUGGUGAUACGUAGGAUCCGAGCAUUAUCCGGAGUGACUGGGUGUAAAGAGUUGCGUAGGUGGCAUAAUAAGUAGCUAGUGAAAUCUGGUGGCUCAACCAUUCAGACUAUUAGCUAAACUGUUAAGCUCGAGACCGUUAGGAGUAACUGGAAUGUCUAGUGUAGGAGUGAAAUCCGUAGAUAUUAGAAGGAACACCAAUAGCGUAGGCAGGUUACUGGGACGGUUCUGACACUAAGGCACGAAAGCGUAGGGAGCGAACGGGAUUAGAUACCCGAGUAGUC